RNAcentral lists this ribosomal RNA (492 nucleotides) under uncultured bacterium. RNAcentral describes it as "partial 16S ribosomal RNA". It matches the Rfam family "Bacterial small subunit ribosomal RNA", at positions 29 to 507 of the family's 1533-position model. The record is from RNAcentral.
AGUGAACGCUGGCGGUAGGCCUAACACAUGCAAGUCGAACGGCAGCACAGUAAGAGCUUGCUCUUACGGGUGGCGAGUGGCGGACGGGUGAGGAAUACAUCGGAAUCUACUUUUUCGGGGGGGAUAACGUAGGGAAACUUACGCUAAUACCGCAUACGACCUACGGGUGAAAGCAGGGGAUCUUCGGACCUUGCGCGAUUGAAUGAGCGGAUGUCGGAUUAGCUAGUUGGCGGGGUAAAGGCCCACCAAGGCGACGAUCCGUAGCUGGUCUGAGAGGAUGGUCGCCCACCCUGGAACUGAGACACGGUCCAGACUACUAAGGGAGGCAGCAGUGGGGAAUAGUGGACAAUGGGCGCAAGCCUGAUCCAGCCAUACCGCGUGUGUGAAGAAGGCCUUCGGGUUGUAAAGCCCUUUUGUUGGGAAAGAAAAGCAGCAGGUUAAUACCACGCUGUUCUGACGGUACCCAAAGAAUAAGCACCGGCUAACUUCGUG